This 394-nucleotide ribosomal RNA is filed under the name uncultured actinomycete. Its description in RNAcentral is "bacterial SSU rRNA". It matches the Rfam family "Bacterial small subunit ribosomal RNA", at positions 365 to 771 of the family's 1533-position model. Lineage: Bacteria; Bacillati; Actinomycetota; Actinomycetes; Actinomycetales. The record is from RNAcentral.
UGCACAAUGGGCGCAAGCCUGAUGCAGCGACGCCGCGUGAGGGAUGACGGCCUUCGGGUUGUAAACCUCUUUCACCAGGGACGAAGCGUGAGUGACGGUACCUGGAGAAGAAGCACCGGCCAACUACGUGCCAGCAGCCGCGGUAAUACGUAGGGUGCGAGCGUUGUCCGGAAUUACUGGGCGUAAAGAGUUCGUAGGCGGUUUGUCGCGUCGUUCGUGAAAUCUUGGGGCUUAACUCCAAGCGUGCGGGCGAUACGGGCAGACUUGAGUACUACAGGGGAGACUGGAAUUCCUGGUGUAGCGGUGAAAUGCGCAGAUAUCAGGAGGAACACCGGUGGCGAAGGCGGGUCUCUGGGUAGUAACUGACGCUGAGGAACGAAAGCGUGGGUAGCGA